RNAcentral lists this unclassified non-coding RNA (927 nucleotides) under Pocillopora damicornis (cauliflower coral). Its description in RNAcentral is "uncharacterized LOC113683196, transcript variant X2". Lineage: Eukaryota; Metazoa; Cnidaria; Anthozoa; Scleractinia; Pocilloporidae. The record is from RNAcentral.
ACAGCUUUCGUGAUAUGUAAUGUUACUCGCUACACUUUUUGAGGAAGUAAUCCUGUUCCCAUCUAUUUAAAAUAUCUUCCAUCCGCGAACAAGAUCACCUAGUAUGAAGCUGACUUUAACAAGUCCCUAUCUGAUUUUAUUACCAUUGAUUUGUGUACAUGGAUUUAUCAUGGAAGUGGAUAGUCGAUACUGAGAUAGUCGCCCGAUGGUAGAUCGAUUCUCUUCCGUUACUUGACCGAUAUCUCGAUCGACAUGUCGGCCGACAAUCGCCCGACCAUUGGUCUAUCAUCAGUUCGCUAUCGACAGAGUAUGGAAUGGCCAUCUCAGAUGGGUCGACUGAAAUGUCGACCAAGAAUACACAUGUAGAAGCAGCUACGAUAAAAACAGCAAAACCGACAAAAAUAAAAACAGGAACAACUUUUGUUACUUAAAAGAUUCAGACCAAGAUGUUCCUGUGGGAGGGCUGAAACCUGGCUGUGAAGUGAAAUUUGAGAAAGUUGGAUGCUUUAAAGACAAAGUUGACAUACGGGCUCUUCCUGAAUUAAUCUUCCACCAAAGAUACAGUAUCAGUUGGGAUCUUGGUAAAUGGGGAGAUUAUUUAAAACAGCUGGCUUGCAAAUGUGCCAAAGGAACGGAAGACAGAGGUUACAGUCAUUUCGGUCUUCAGUUCUAUGCUGAAUGCUGGACGGGUCUCAAGGCUGCUGCAAGGUUUGAUAUCUACGGCAAGUCAAAGGACUGUAAGGAUGGUCGCUUCUUAAAAUGUAAUGACGGAGAUAAAGGAGAGUGCGUCGGUGGAGGUCACGCCAACUACAUUUACCGUAUUAUACCUACAGAAGGCGGAAGUGGAGUAGAACCCAUACUUGAUUGAAAGUCUAUGCGCACUUAAACACCGAAAAAGUUAAUAAUAAAUGAGUAUUUCAGAAUACG